AGGACCUUACUUGAACAGGAUCUGUUCUAUAGGCUUGUAUCGCUGCAUCCUUUACCAAUAAGGAGGCAAGCACUCAUGUCUGGUUGAUGCAUUCUCACCUCUAGGCCAGAGUGUGAUUAAUGGUCAGGAUCACCUGAUGGGUGUUAUCCGUUGGCUGUAGAAGGAUCGUUCCUGCCUGGUUAAACUGGUGCAGGGCAGGGGGUGGCCUAGAGGUUGUCUGACAGACU
Molecule: small nucleolar RNA, 227 nt
Organism: Triticum dicoccoides
Lineage: Eukaryota; Viridiplantae; Streptophyta; Magnoliopsida; Poales; Poaceae
Product: small nucleolar RNA U3
Exons: 1
Source: RefSeq, a predicted model, not a curated record